GUGUCAGCCGCCGCGGUAACACGGGGGGAGCAAGCGUUGUUCGGAUUCAUUGGGCGUAAAGAGCUCGUAGGCGGCUCUGUAAGUCGGGGGUGAAAGACCACGGCUCAACCGUGGAAACGCCUUCGAUACUGUGGAGCUUGAGGCCGGGAGAGGAAAGCGGAAUUCCUGGUGUAGCGGUGAAAUGCGUAGAUAUCAGGAGGAACACCAGUGGCGAAGGCGGCUUUCUGGACCGGUUCUGACGCUGAGGAGCGAAAGCCAGGGGAGCAAACAGGAUUAGAUACCCCCGUAGUCC
Molecule: ribosomal RNA, 292 nt
Filed under: uncultured bacterium
Lineage: Bacteria
Description: partial 16S ribosomal RNA
Rfam family: Bacterial small subunit ribosomal RNA
Source: RNAcentral